RNAcentral lists this long non-coding RNA (1073 nucleotides) under Ailuropoda melanoleuca (giant panda). Its description in RNAcentral is "lncRNA (ENSAMEG00000026646.1)". Lineage: Eukaryota; Metazoa; Chordata; Mammalia; Carnivora; Ursidae. The record is from RNAcentral.
CUUCUGCACACCAAGCUUGCAUUCUGCAAAACGUGAGCCCAACAGGAAGCUGCCUGCAAAUUCAGGUAGCUUUUCUUACUCUUAACCAGGUCUUGAAUAUACUUUCAGAGAAAUGCCAGCAAGAACUAUAAUCAUCUGGGGAAGAACAAAUCUGGAAGAAAAACACACAGAGGACUAGCACCAAGAGGUCCACAGCUCAUAAUGAUGACAAUCCUGAGGAUAUAGGAAAAUGACUUCCCAUGCAAGAAGAAACUAUCAAAAGAAGAGAUAAGAGUGUGCCAUGAAAUUUAAAAAAAGAAAGGAAGGUGGAGAAAUGGAGAACAAGAUAAAGGCCUGGAAUCCCUGCUGCUCCAGAAAGGGAAGAAGGACUCCGAAAACAGUAAGAAGUCAGGACUGUUAACACCAAUGGAGGUUCCUCAUAGGACCACAGAAACUGGAUCUGCAUGCACUCUCUAAAAAGAAGUAGAAGAAGAAGAAAAGAAAAAGAAAGAAAUAUUAUGAAGAACUUUAUGCCAAUAACUUAACAACUUUAAUAAAAUGCACAUAUGUACUGAAUAGCAUGAGCUUCCAUAGCUCAUUCAGGAUGGAAGAACUAGAUUUUGAUUAGCCCUGUAUCUAUUAAGAAGUUAAAUCUUUUUUUCUCCUUUUUUUAAAAAAAGAUUUCUUUCUUUUUUUUCUUGUUACUCUAAUAAAAAGGCAAAAGUAAAAAAAAAUUUUUUUCAGGGGUACAGGUCUGUGAUUCAUCAGUUUUACAUAAUACCCAUUGCUUAUUACAACACAUACCCUCCCCAAUCUACUUUUUAACUGCAAUCUGUUAAAGAAGUUGAAUGAAAAUCCUUUCCACAAAGAAAAUUCACUGGUGAACUCUACCAAGCACUUAAGAAAGACAGAACAUCUAAACAAACUCUUCUAGAAAACUGAAGAAGAGGAAAUACUUUCUAACUCAUUUUCUGAGACUAGUAUUAGUUGACUACCAAAACCAGGCAAAGAUAGUAAUGAAAACUAAAGACCAAUAUCCCCCAGGAGGACAGAUGUAAAAACCCUUAGCAAAACUUUAGCAAGUUAAAUGUGAC